GCAAACUCAACAGCAUGCAGGCCAUCAAGACCAAGUCAUGCAGGAGCUGCUGGAACGAGCUGAACUAUUCCUAUUUUGUUCAACUUGUAAUCUUAAGUUAAUGUAAUGUACUUUAGUUCAUUUAGAACUAUGUUAGGUUUAUGAUUGAUGUAUUUUGAUGACAAUUAAGCUGUUAAGUCAGCUUUGUUUAAGUGUGCAAGCUUAGUUUUUCAAGUUUCAAUGUAUUAGUGGUAGUAGGUGAUGAUUAGGUAUCAUUAUGCAGAUUUUGACAAGCAAAUUGCUUGGUUUUAUGUAUUGGCAUUAUGCCAUUGUUCAACUAAUGAAUAGAAUCAGUUUUUGUUCAUCAUUUUUCCUCUCCAUUCUCUUAGCUUUUUCUUUCUUUCUUCUGGCUUGAAUUUCUCUUGUUUGCUCAGCAAGUCUCGAGACUUGGUUGACAAGAUAUUGCUGAGGCUGCUUGAUUCUGUUAUUGCACCAACAAUUGGUAUCUAGAGCCUGUUUCUUAAGGGAUCUGUUACUCAAUUCCAUGGCUUCAUCAAGCUUUUCACCAGCUGCACCUCAAGUCUUCAAUGGAGAAGGCUAUCACAUAUGGGUGGUCAAAAUGAAGACCUACCUGCAGGCUUUCGAUCUGUGGGAGGUGGUCAACUUUGAUGUUGAACCAGAGCCACUUAGAGCUAAUCCAACAGUGGCUCAGAUCAGGCAGCAUGCUGAUGAAAGGACCAAGAGGCACAAAGCUAUGUCUUGCAUCCAAAACUCAGUGUCUGAUGUGAUUUUCACAAGGAUUAUGGCCUGUGAAUCACCAAAACAGGCCUGGGAUAAGUUGCAGGAAGAGUUUCAAGGGACAGAGAGGACAAGGCAGCAACAGUUGUUAAACUUGAGGAGAGAUUUCGAGAAUUUGAAGAUGAAGGAAGAAGAAACUGUCAAGCAAUAUUCUGACAGGAUUAUGGCUGUGGUUAACAGCAUCAGGCUCCUUGGAGAGCAGUUCAAUGAAGCUAGGAUAGUGGAGAAGGUUAUAGCAACUCUGCCUGAGAGGUAUGAGGCAAAAAUCUCAUCUCUCGAGGACUCAAGGGAUCUGUCCACCAUCUCCCUGACAGAGUUGAUCAAUGCUCUAUAUGCUCAAGAGCAGAGGAGAGCAAGCAGACUGGAGGAGCACCAAGAAGGUGCCUUUCAGGCAAGAGCAAAUACUGCCUACAAAGGCAAGAAGGCCUGGAGAGACAAGCCAAAGAAUGAUGCUGCAAGGAGAGAAGGUCAGACUUGCAAGCACUGUAGAAAGGCUGGUCAUUCAGAAGAAAAAUGCUGGUUCAAUCCAGAUGCUGUAUGUCAGCAUUGUAAGAAGAAGGGUCAUGUUGAGAGAGUCUGCAAGAGUAAGACCAAAUCGAGGCAGAAUCAGUUUCAACAGAUGAAAGCUGAGGCUCGAGUAGCAAAGGAGGACAGUGACCAAGAGGAGCAAGUCUUUGCUGUGUCAUGCUCAGCUGCUCAGGAAAGGUCCUCAUCUGGUUGGCUCCUAGACAGUGGAUGCACCAACCACAUGACACCUGAUGCCGCAAUCUUCAAGUCUUUAGACAGAAGCUGCAGAACUAAAGUCAAGAUAGGAAAUGGUCAUUUUAUCCAAGCUGAAGGCAAGGGUGAUGUGCUGAUAUGCACACUUACAGGUACCAAAGUGAUUUCAAAUGUGCUGUUGGUGCCUGAAAUUGACAGAAACCUGCUCAGCAUAGCUCAGUUGCUGGAAAAAGGUUAUUCAGUUGUGUUUAAAGACCACCAGUGCCAAAUCAGUGAUCCAAGUGGAUCCAAACUGAUGGCAGUCCCUAUGGCUGAUAAGAGCUUUGUGGUUGACUGGACAAAAAAGUCAGACAUUGCCUACACAGCCACUUCAGAUGAAUCCAAGCUGUGGCAUCAAAGAUUGGGACAUGCCAACUUCAGAUCGAUGGCUCGAAUGGUCAGAGAGGACCUGGCUGAAAAUUUCAUCAACUCAGUGGACCAUGAUGAUGUAUGUGAUGUAUGUCAGCUAGGAAAGCAGGCCAGACUCCCAUUUCCCUCGAAUCAAGCCUGGAGAGCCUCUGAAAAACUCCAACUGGUGCAUACUGAUGUGUGUGGCCCUAUGAAGACUGAGUCAUUAAGUGGAAACAGGUAUUUCAUACUGUUCAUUGAUGAUUUCUCGAGAUAUUGCUGGAUUUACUUUUUAAAACAGAAAUCAGAAGUGGCCUCAGUGUUUUGGAAGUUCAAGACUGCUUCUGAGACUGAAACAGGCUGCAAGCUGAAGACCAUAAGGUCUGAUAAUGGGACUGAGUACACCUCAGCUCAGUUCCAAGCCUUCUGUGAUAAGGCAGGCAUCAAACAUCAACUUACCAACACAUAUACACCUCAGCAGAAUGGGGUAAGUGAAAGGAAGAAUAGGAGUUUGAUGGAUAUGGCCAGGUGCUUGAUGAUUCAGAAGAAUCUGCCUAAAGCACUAUGGGCAGAAGCAGUUAACACUGCAACAUACAUUCAAAAUAGACUUCCAACCAAGGCUUUGGAUCAAAAGACCCCAUUCGAGGCCUGGUUUAGUUUCAAGCCAUCACUGGCUCAUCUGAAGGUCUUUGGAUGCAUCUGUUAUGCACAUGUACCUGCUGUUAAAAGGGACAAAUUGUCUGAAAGGGCUCGACCUGGUGUUUUGGUGGGGUAUAGCACUGUUAAGAAGGGCUAUAGGAUUUUAGAUCCUUCAACAAACAAAGUGUCAAUAAGCAGGGAUGUGGUAUUUGAUGAGAGGUCAUGUUGGAACUGGGAAAGACAUGAACCUGAAGAAGUUUCUGAAGAACUUGCAGUAGACCAAGCUGAGCCAGACCAAAAUGUCCCUGAAAUGGAUAUAGAUGAUGAACCAGUCAGAGGAACAAGGUCAUUGACUGAGGUUUAUGAAAGGGCUCAUGUAGCCAUAACUGAGCCAAGCAACUUUGAAGAGGCUGAGGCUCAACAAGGGUGGAAGCAGGCAAUGGCUGAGGAGAUCAGCAUGAUUGAGAAGAACCAGACCUGGAAAUUGGUUGAAAGGCCAGUCAAAAGGAAGGUGAUUGGGGUGAAAUGGGUGUACAAAGCCAAGCAGAAUGCUGAUGGUACCUUGAACAAGUUAAAAGCAAGGCUAGUGGUCAAGGGGUUCAGUCAAAGGUAUGGCUUGGACUAUUUGGAGACCUUUGCACCAGUGGCCAGGCUCGACACCAUCAGACUGCUGAUUGCCUUAGCUGCACAGCUCGAAUGGAAGAUUCAUCAACUUGAUGUGAAAUCAGCCUUUCUGAAUGGUUUCUUAGAUGAAGACAUCUAUGUUGAACAACCACAAGGGUUUGAAAUAGCUGGCAGAGAGCAUAUGGUCUACAAAUUGAAGAAGGCCCUAUAUGGCUUAAAACAGGCUCCAAGGGCCUGGUACAGCAGAAUCGAUGGCUACUUGACUGAUCUGGGAUUCAAUCGAAGCAAGAGUGAGCCAACACUAUAUGUCAAGAAGCAAGGGACACAAACACAACUCAUUGUGUCCCUAUAUGUUGAUGACCUGCUGGUGACAGGAGGAGAUCAAGCAGUGCUGGUUAAUUUCAAGACCAAGAUGCAAGAAGUGUUUGAAAUGUCUGAUCUUGGGGAGAUGUCCUAUUUUCUUGGAAUGGAGGUGACUCAAGCACAGAAUGGGAUAUUUUUAAGUCAGAAGAGCUUUGCCACAAAGAUUCUGACCAAGUUCUCCAUGCAAAACAGCAAACCAACUAAAACACCUGUUGCUGUUGGAGAAAAACUAUCGAGCCAAGGAGAUUUUGAGAAGGUAUGUGAAACUACCUACAGGAGUCUAGUUGGUUGUUUGCUAUACUUGACUGCCACUAGACCAGACAUAAUGUAUGCUGUAGGAUUGCUCUCAAGGUUCUUGCAUUGUUGCAAUGAGAAGCAUUUCCAGGCUGCCAAGAGAGUGCUCAGAUAUGUCAAAGGCACUUUGGACUAUGGCUUAAGGUACAGCAGGAAAGGAAAUCUAAAUCUAGUUGGGUACACUGAUAGUGACUGGGCUGGAUCAAUAGAUGACAUGAAAAGCACCUCAGGGUAUGCUUUUAACCUUGGUUCAGCCAUGUUCUGCUGGAGCUCUAAGAAGCAAAGUCUGGUGGCACAAUCUACUGCUGAAGCAGAGUAUGUGGCAGCAGCAAGUGCUGUCAACCAAGCCAUUUGGCUUAGGAAAAUCCUGGCUGAUUUGAAUAUGGAUCAAAUGAAAGCAACAGAGAUCUUCUGUGACAAUCAAUCUGCAGUUGCAAUUGCUAAAAAUCCAGUGUUCCAUGGUAGAACAAAACAUUUCAGCAUCAAGUUACAUGUUGUUCGAGAAAUGGAGCAAGCUCAGGAAAUAAAGCUGAUCCACUGUAAUUCAGAGGAUCAACUUGCUGACAUUUUAACCAAAGCUCUUAGUGUCACAAGGUUUGAAUAUCUAAGAAAGAUGCUAGGUGUUUGCUCCAUGCAAACCAAGGAGGAGUGAUGAAGUUGGUACAGCAUGCAGCAAACUCAACAGCAUGCAGGCCAUCAAGACCAAGUCAUGCAGGAGCUGCUGGAACGAGCUGAACUAUUCCUAUUUUGUUCAACUUGUAAUCUUAAGUUAAUGUAAUGUACUUUAGUUCAUUUAGAACUAUGUUAGGUUUAUGAUUGAUGUAUUUUGAUGACAAUUAAGCUAUUAAGUCAGCUUUGUUUAAGUGUGCAAGCUUAGUUUUUCAAGUUUCAAUGUAUUAGUGGUAGUAGGUGAUGAUUAGGUAUCAUUAUGCAGAUUUUG
This 4744-nucleotide long non-coding RNA is filed under the name Gossypium barbadense (sea-island cotton). Its description in RNAcentral is "long non-coding RNA (GBAR_LNC022123)". The record is from RNAcentral. Lineage: Eukaryota; Viridiplantae; Streptophyta; Magnoliopsida; Malvales; Malvaceae.